RNAcentral lists this ribosomal RNA (494 nucleotides) under Herpetoreas platyceps (Himalayan keelback). RNAcentral's name for it is "partial large subunit ribosomal RNA". It matches the Rfam family "Bacterial large subunit ribosomal RNA", at positions 1840 to 2603 of the family's 2925-position model. The record is from RNAcentral. Lineage: Eukaryota; Metazoa; Chordata; Lepidosauria; Squamata; Natricidae.
CAAAUAUUAAAGGCAACGCCUGCCCAGUGAACAAUUCAACGGCCGCGGUACCCUAACCGUGCAAAGGUAGCAUAAUCAUUUGUCUAUUAACUGUAGACCUGUAUGAAAGGCAAAAUGAGGGUUCAACUGUCUCUUAUAGUAAAUCUAUUAAACUGAUCUUCCAGUAAAAAAGCUAGAAUACUAACAUAAGACCAGAAGACCCUGUGAAGCUUGAACUAAACCAUUAAACCAAAUAAUAACUACUUUCGGUUGGGGCGACCUUGGAAACAAAAAAAACUUCCAAACACUUACAUAUGUACAUGCAGGCCAACAAGCCAACUAAAUGACCCAGUAAAACUGAUAAAUGAACAAAGUUACUCCAGGGAUAACAGCGCUAUCUUCUUCAAGAGCCCAUAUCAAAAAGAAGGUUUACGACCUCGAUGUUGGAUCAGGACAUCCCAAUGGUGCAGCCGCUAUUAAAGGUUCGUUUGUUCAACGAUUAAUGUCCUACGUAA